UUACGGGAGGCAGCAGUGGGGAAUUUUGGACAAUGGGGGCAACCCUGAUCCAGCCAUGCCGCGUGAGUGAAGAAGGCCUUCGGGUUGUAAAGCUCUUUCGGACGGGAAGAAACGGUUACGGCUAAUACCUGUGACUAAUGACGGUACCGUAAGAAGAAGCACCGGCUAACUACGUGCCAGCAGCCGCGGUAAUACGUAGGGUGCGAGCGUUAAUCGGAAUUACUGGGCGUAAAGCGUGCGCAGGCGGCUUUGCAAGACAGGCGUGAAAUCCCCGGGCUUAACCUGGGAACUGCGCUUGUGACUACAAGGCUAGAGUGUAGCAGAGGGGGGUAGAAUUCCACGUGUAGCAGUGAAAUGCGUAGAGAUGUGGAGGAAUACCGAUGGCGAAGGCAGCCCCCUGGGCUAACACUGACGCUCAUGCACGAAAGCGUGGGGAGCAAACAGGAUUAGAUACCCUAGUAA
Molecule: ribosomal RNA, 462 nt
Filed under: uncultured bacterium
Lineage: Bacteria
Description: bacterial SSU rRNA
Rfam family: Bacterial small subunit ribosomal RNA
Source: RNAcentral